Molecule: ribosomal RNA, 253 nt
Filed under: uncultured prokaryote
Description: partial 16S ribosomal RNA
Rfam family: Bacterial small subunit ribosomal RNA
Source: RNAcentral
UACAGAGGUCCCAAGCGUUGUUCGGAUUCACUGGGCGUAAAGGGUGCGUAGGUGGUGAGGUAAGUCGGAUGUGAAAGCUCGGAGCUCAACUCCGAAAUGGCAUUGGAAACUACCUUGCUCGAGGGUUGGAGGGGGGACUGGAAUGCUUGGUGUAGCAGUGAAAUGCGUAGAUAUCAGGAGGAACACCUGUGGUGUAGACAGCUUACUGGACCACUUCUGACGCUGAGACACGAAAGCGUGGGUAGCAAACAGG